This 162-nucleotide small nuclear RNA is filed under the name Athalia rosae (coleseed sawfly). RNAcentral's name for it is "misc RNA ENSAEAG00005013494.1". It matches the Rfam family "U1 spliceosomal RNA". Rfam says of the family: U1 is a small nuclear RNA (snRNA) component of the spliceosome (involved in pre-mRNA splicing). Its 5' end forms complementary base pairs with the 5' splice junction, thus defining the 5' donor site of an intron. There are significant differences in sequence and secondary structure between metazoan and yeast U1 snRNAs, the latter being much longer (568 nucleotides as compared to 164 nucleotides in human). Lineage: Eukaryota; Metazoa; Arthropoda; Insecta; Hymenoptera; Athaliidae. The record is from RNAcentral.
AUACUUACCUGGCGCAGAGGAUACCGUGAUCACCAAGGCGGUUCCUCCAAGACGAGGCUCUUCCAUUGCACUACGGUCGAGCUGAACCUUGCGAAUACCCCUAAUGUGGGUAUCUCGGGCGUAUUAUUUUUGGUAGUUGGGACUGCGUACGCGCUGUCCCAG